CGGCCUGGAUUCCACUGCCUAGGCAGGAAGCUCAUCUCAGCCCAGUGACCGUCUCUCUGGAGUGAAAACACCCAGGAAAGGGUAAAUCCUGAAGCUACCAUUUCAACUCCAGCUCAGGACCAGACAGAAGGGCUGCCAUCUCACUUCUCAACCCAAGUGUCCUGACCACUAGGAACAACCUCUUCCUUGUUUCCGAGAAUCAGGCUAGUGUCAUGCAGAAUGGUCAAGCAGGAGGACAGGAGUACACGCUUCUCUUUACCCGAAGGAGGUGAUCAACUCUUCCACAGGAAGAGCUACAGCAUUUCACCCCCUAAAGGUCUAGCACGGAGGAGAUGCUCAGCAUUACUCAUCGGGCUGUGCCAAAUUAACCUGUUUGCGAUGGACCAAACUGUCUGUCUCCCUCUGGAUUCCCAAGGCUCUCAGCAGAAAAUGUAGGGGUUCCUGGCAUACCUACACUGUGAUUUGUAUCUGGCCUGUUAUGUGACUCAGGAGUUACAGAAAUAUCCUACGUGGUGACUAUAGGCAGUGCAAGGCCUCUGCCCAAACGUUGGACUGUCGGCUCUGAUGAUUCAAAUUAGCAACAGGUUAUAAAAUCUCCAUCACCCCAAAUUUGUCUUUAAUACCUCUUUAUUUGCCCCACCUUAGAUUUUCCUCAUCAAUCCCAAGAAAGAAAAGAGCUGCACCUCAGAAGAGUGCACCUCAGGGCCGGUCCUUACGGUGCGCGCCUCUCCCCAUAAUACACUCACACACAACACACACGCUCACCGGGUGCGGCAGGGCCAACCCCUGCCCAUCCUUCCUGUUUUGUUCAAUUUAAUCAAAUAGGAACUUGCACUUAGACAGCAAAUAAUGCUCAACAACAAUAACGACCCAUACUGAGCAUUAUUGGCUUAGUUUCUUUGGGAUUCAAAGUUACCAGAACAAGUCAGAUGAAACAGGGGGGCCUUGACAGAGGCUCAGUGACAGACAGUUGUGAUGAGGCCAUUGACAUGACUUUCACUGCAGGAUAGAGGAGAACCUGGGCUGGUGGCCUAGGGCCUGGAGCCGAUCACUCCCAAAUUCCUGGCUCUGGGAACAGCAUGAGACGGAUGCUGGAGCCUCCUUCCAACCUACCCAGCUUGACACCAUGGGGGUGCCUGGGGAAAUGGCAUGUACUUGCCAACUGAAGA
Manis javanica (Malayan pangolin) is the source of this 1169-nucleotide non-coding RNA. Lineage: Eukaryota; Metazoa; Chordata; Mammalia; Pholidota; Manidae. The record is from RefSeq and is a predicted model, not a curated record.